GAGUUUCUGCAAGAUUAUUUUAGGAGAUUGUUUUCUACAUAAAAAGAAAAUUGCCCAUGUGUAUACAGGUGGUAACUAUUUGGGAAGGGAAGGCUGAAUCUCCUGGUAGUUAAGAAAUGGUUUUACAGUGAAUUUGAGGGUUCUUCUCUAUUUCUUUUCCCUGUAGAGCACUUCUAUGAAGAAGUUGGGGUAUCAUAAAAGGACAAGCUUUUAUUGUAAAAUAAGACACAAUUAAAAGACUUUCUCAGGAGGAGUGGUCUUAUAUCUGGCAGCCACAUCAAGAAUGAUCACAUUGAUAAUUAUAUUAUUUAACAACCAAAUAUUUUUUGGAAAAAAACAUUAUCUGUCUUACAACUAGCUUUUUUUAAAAGGCAAAUUUUAUUUAUUAUAUUUGCAUUAAUUCUUAUGUAUAGGUAACAUAAAGAAGACUGCCAGAUGUAAAAUCCUCUUCUAGCUGCUUUGAAAGCAAAAUCAAAUAGACAAAUACUCUUCUGUUAGUAAAUGUCUUUCAGCAGAUUAGUGAAUGAAGAAAGGAAACAAUUCAAAACAACAAUUUACACACACACAGGUUCACGUAUUUCCAAUUUAAAUUAUUUAAAAUUGUACACUUUCUAAAAAGAGUACUUUUGGUUUAGAAUUUUGAAACAGGAAGAGCAGGAAGACCUGACCUUCCACAGGUAAUUAUUUGCCUCUUCACAUCUCUUAGGUUCUACCAGUGAGAAAAUGGAUUAUAUAAUGAGUAAGGUAUUUUGAAUUGCUUGUCUUGUAGAAAAUUUCUGGGCAUUGAAAUGGCAUUUCAUUGUAUUUGGUUUUAUAGAAGUCUUGAAGAGACACUACACACAAAAAUAAUCAUUCUUGCCAAAAUGAACUUGAUUUAUUUUAAACUCAUAUUGUUAUCAGUGAUGAAAUCACCAUUAGUGAAUGUAUGUUAAGUGUAUUUUCAUCCAUUUCCUUGGUGUUGUAAGUAAUCAAAAGACUUAUAAGCCCUUGUUAUUGUCUUUGCAUAAUAAAUAAUGCCAUAUGUUAAUAUAGCAAUACAUAGUAGAAGAAAGUUAACAUUAGGGUUCAAAGGAGUUCUGAUCCUCAAAAAUCAGAUCAGUUUAAAUGCUACGUAUGGUUUCAUCCAGUAAGUUUUCCAUGGACACAAUUUGGGCCUGUUCCUAGCAUUCCGAAGUACUUUGGUUUAACGAAUAUAUAUUUGAAGAAAACAAUGCACUGUGAUACAGCAAACACAAUUCCUAGAUAUAAGCACAUCAUAAACUUUAUCAAUUCUAACUUUCUCUUUUAGAAAAUGAAGGAGCUAAGGGGUUUGCCUAGCACUAUAUAAGUAGUGAGAGUAACAAGGCCAGAAUUGGAACCCUGUUUGAUUGAUGCUGUUAAUUUACAUUGUUUUGCUUUAUUCUCAGGGCAGUGGUCCUCAUCAGACUCUUGUUAUAAUCAAACAUAUUUACAGGGCAUGUGAAAUCACAGAAAACGUACGUUUUGCCAUUGUGCACACGCUGCUUCUAUGUUUAGGUAGGACACUGUGAGUUUUUAACAUCUUAUUGAAAAAAAUGGAGACACUUCACUAACUUUAGUCAUGGAGUACCUAAUUCUAGAUUAUUCAGAAUGAUAUAUUAGCAGAUUUUAGAUACAGCUUUACAAAUGCUGACUGAUUUAUCAGACUGAACAACAUGUACAUCUGGCAACCAGAAAGUCAUUGUUUGGUUUCUUUUUUCUAAUUCUGAAUACUUAUUUACUAUUUAUCAAUACCAACUUUUAGGAAUUUGUUUUAUUUCAUAGAAUAAAAUAUUGACAAAGUAGUUAACAUACAGACAGUUCUAAUGAUAAUACAUUAAUUUAAAACUUCUAUAAACAAUAUGUGAUUUAAGUGUUAUUAGAAUUAUCAUAUACACAAAGAUUAUGGUGACAGAUAUUUUCAUGUUUUAAUGUUUUAAGAUAUCUGACUGUAGUAACCUUUGUUUUCAUGGUGCAGCUUGUAAGUUAAAGAUUACUAUCUCAAUGAAUGUGUCAUUUGAAUCCUAAAGAGACACCCAUAUAGUGUGAGGAAUUUUGUUCCCUUUUAAAUGGACUUUAUUUUUUAGAGCAGUUUUGGGUUCACAGCAAAGUUGACUAAAAAGUACAGAGUUGCCAUAUAUCCCUUGUUCCCACACAAGCACAGCCUCCCCAGCUAUCAAUAUCUAGCAACAAGCUGGUGCAUUUGUUAUAAUUAAUGAACCUACUUUUACACAUUAUUAUCACCCAAAGUGAACUGUUUACGUUAGUGUUCAUUUUUCUAUAUUCUGUGGGUUUUGACCAAUGUCCCCACAAUUGUAGUAUUCUGUAGAAUGGUGUCACUGUCCUAAAAACUGCCUGAGCUUUGUCUAGUUAUUGAUCUUUUUACUGCUGUGAUAGUUUUGUGUUUUCUAGAAUGUCAUAGAGUUGGAAUCAUAAUAUAUAUCCUUUUCAAACUGGCUUCUUUCACUCAGUAAUACACAUUAAAGAUUCCUCAAUGUCCUUUCAUUUCUUGACAGCUCAUUUCUUCCUGGGCACUGAAUAAUAUUCCAUGACGUACCACAACUUAUUUACCCAUUUACUUACUAAAGAAAUUCUUGGUUUCUUCCAAGAUUUGACAAAUAUAAAUAAAGCUGCUAUAAGCAUUUUGUGUGGAGAUUUUUGCACGGAUAUGCAUUUUCAACACAUUUGGGUAAAUAAUACCAAGGAACGUGAUUGCUGGAUUGCAUAUCAUAAUAAGUCUGUGUUUUGCUUUCUAAGCAACUAACCGUCUACUAAAGUGGCUGCACAAUUUUGCAUUCCCACCAACAAUGAAUGAAGAAUUGUUGUUCCACAUCCUCAUCAGCUCUUGGUGUUGUCAGUUGUCUGACUUUUGACCAUUCUAAUUUUAUCUCAUUGUUGUCUUAAUUUACAUUUCCCUGAUGACAUGUAAUGUGGAUCAUCUUUCCAUAUAUUUAUGGCCAUACAUAUACCUUCUUUGCUGAGGUUAUCUGUUUAGGUCUUUCCCUCUUUUUUAUCCAAAUGUUCAUUUUCUUUUUGUUGAAUUUUAAGAGUUCUUUGUAUAAUUUAGGUAAAAAUCUUUUAUUAGAUUUGUUUUGUUUUGUACUUAUUCUAUGCCAGUCUAUGGCUUGUUUUCCCAUUUGCUUGACAGUGUCAUUUACAGAGCAGAAGUUUUUAAUUUUAAUUAAGUCUAGUGUAUAAUGUUUUUUUAAAAUAGUGCCUUUGGUGGUACCUGUAUAAAGUCAUCUCCAUGCCCAAGAUCAUCUAGAUUUUCUAUGUUAUCUUCUCAGAAUUUUUGUUUUGCAUUUUACAUUGAGGUAUAUGAUCCAUUUUGAUUUAAUUUUUGUGAAGGUUGUAAGGUCUGUAUCUAGAUCAUUUAUUUGCACGUAAAUGCCCACUUGUUCCACCACUGUUUCUUGAAAAGACAAUAUAUGAAAGAUUUUUUAAAAUCACCUACAAUUUAAAAAUAAUUUAUUUAUUUACAAUAUAUUUCAUUUUAG
This 3494-nucleotide long non-coding RNA is filed under the name Homo sapiens (human). RNAcentral's name for it is "HSALNT0204749". The record is from RNAcentral. Lineage: Eukaryota; Metazoa; Chordata; Mammalia; Primates; Hominidae.